GGAUUGUAGUCUGCAACCCGACUACAUGAAGCUGGAAUCGCUAGUAAUCGCGGAUCAGAGUGCCGCGGUGAAUACGUUCCCGGGUCUUGUACACACCGCCCGUCACACCAUGGGAGUCGGAAAUGCCCGAAGUCUGUGACCCAACCUACGGGAGGGAGCAGCCGAAGGCAGGUCGGAUGACUGGGGUGAAGUCGUAACAAGGUAUC
Molecule: ribosomal RNA, 206 nt
Filed under: uncultured bacterium
Lineage: Bacteria
Description: partial 16S ribosomal RNA
Rfam family: Bacterial small subunit ribosomal RNA
Source: RNAcentral